Molecule: non-coding RNA, 22 nt
Filed under: Arabidopsis thaliana (thale cress)
Lineage: Eukaryota; Viridiplantae; Streptophyta; Magnoliopsida; Brassicales; Brassicaceae
Source: RNAcentral
UGGAGGUUUUGGUGUCAUUACU